GACGAACGCUGGCGGCGUGCCUAAUACAUGCAAGUCGAGCGAAUCUUUGGGAGCUUGCUCCCAAAGAUUAGCGGCGGACGGGUGAGUAACACGUGGGCAACCUGCCUAUAAGACUGGGAUAACUUCGGGAAACCGGAGCUAAUACCGGAUAAUCCUUUUCCUCUCAUGAGGGGAAGCUGAAAGACGGUUUCGGCUGUCACUUAUAGAUGGGCCCGCGGCGCAUUAGCUAGUUGGNGAGGUAACGGCUCACCAAGGCGACGAUGCGUAGCCGACCUGAGAGGGUGAUCGGCCACACUGGGACUGAGACACGGCCCAGACUCCUACGGGAGGCAGCAGUAGGGAAUCUUCCGCAAUGGACGAAAGUCUGACGGAGCAACGCCGCGU
Molecule: ribosomal RNA, 384 nt
Filed under: uncultured bacterium
Lineage: Bacteria
Description: bacterial SSU rRNA
Rfam family: Bacterial small subunit ribosomal RNA
Source: RNAcentral